Drosophila simulans is the source of this 1561-nucleotide long non-coding RNA. RefSeq lists it as uncharacterized. NCBI's taxonomy places the organism in Eukaryota, Metazoa, Arthropoda, Insecta, Diptera, Drosophilidae. The record is from RefSeq and is a predicted model, not a curated record. The transcript has 4 exons.
ACACAUUACGCGUGGCGCUGUAGGACAAGCCUUACGUAUCCAUAUAAGUGUACAUACAGAAUUAUAAAAUCACACUGUUACUAUUGUCGCACUUCUCGCACUUGAUCACAUUACUUUGUCGCAUCAAAAAGCAAACUGCGCUUUUUUCAUUUCAUUAUGUCCUUUUCUUUGUAGAGUUGACAUUAGUAUUUCUUUGCGAAGUGCGCGUCGGUCGUGUUUUUGCGCGUGGGACUGAACUUAUUUAAAAUCAAUAGAAAUAAUUGUCUCUUUCUGAAGAAAUAAAUUUGUUUAACCAUUAUUGGGCUAACUUAAUCAAAUGCACAUACUAUCCGCAAUACAUAUUUCUCGGUCAUAACUUUGCCAGCUGUGCAAAAUCAAGAUGUGUACAUACACAUUGUAUGCAUGCAUGUACAUAUGUAUAAAGUCUCCAAACCAAGCACUUGCUUUUGCCGCGCUUCUCGCACCUCAUCACAUUGCAUUAAUCCGAAAUAUACUAACGGCGCUGGGUUUGUUUUUUUCGCGGAUCGAAAUCAUUUAAAAUCAGUUCUAAUAAAGUGCUUUCCGCAAUCAAACUAACAUUUUGCUUUGCGCGUUUCCCUGUCUUUUUUCUUGUUUCCCGCUUUUGUGCGUGAGUCUGUUUAAUUUCUGAAAAAAUGCAAAUUAAAUGUAAAUAAAAUGCAAAUAAGACUUGCAACUAUUUGCACAAUAGCUUUUAAUCGUUUCCGCUCAUUUUAUUCGUACUACGUAUAACUUCGAUCCGAACUUCUCUUUGGUGCAAAUUUGUGUCGAAUCUUAUUAUACACUUUACACAUACAUAUGUAUGUUCAUAUAUGCAAAAUUGUAAAACAGUGUAAAAAAUAUUUCGUUUCCGAUUUCACGUCAUAAACAUAACAGGACUUUAACUGCUAGGUGCAUGUGCGCAUGUGUGUUCAUUGCGCAGACAUACAUAAAGUACCGAAAGUUUAUCUUCAUGCAACAAUUUAAAUUUAAUCUAAAUAAGUAAUGUAGUGGUCACAAGUCUUACAAAUUUGAAUGUGGUUUAUUCGCGACUGACGCAAGAUGAUGUUGCAAACUGGCAACUAAGCAACAACAACAGCAACAUCCAGCGACGAGUGUCAUUGACUAAUGUUGCAUGCAGCGCAUAAAGCUGGUAAAAGGUAACCGCAAUAACCAAAAAUUCAAUCAACGGAAACCCAAGACCGAAACAAUAGAAGCGAAUUUGCUGUUUUUUAGCAAAGCGCAAAAAGUCUUGGAGAUGAUCUAAGUCCAGGCCACAUAUAAAUAAAUAAUAAUAGUAUUAUUUUGAUGUAUAAUGGAUAACUGAUUAUAUUCAUAAUAACUAAAAAUAAAUAAUAAAAACUUAUAAUUUAAAGGACGAAAUCAUUUUUUGUGCUAGUAAAUAUUAUUAUUCGAGAAGUAAAAUGUUUCGAGCGGGGUCAUCGGGGCAGGAGCUUCAAAAGGGGAGAUGACAAAGUUUUUGAGUCUGCAAAUAGUUGAGGGUGAGGUGUGCAUUUAUAUAUGUAAAUAGUAGGCUGACAUUUGCCGACAACGUGAAAGGGCA